Talaromyces proteolyticus is the source of this 72-nucleotide non-coding RNA. The record is from the annotation of a RefSeq genome assembly. Lineage: Eukaryota; Fungi; Ascomycota; Eurotiomycetes; Eurotiales; Trichocomaceae.
GGGCGUGUGGUCUAGUGGUAUGACGUUCGUUUUGCAUACGAAAGGCCGGGGGUUCGAUUCCCUCCUCGUCCA